GAAAAGGGGAGCUCCUUACAGGGGCUGAGAGGAGACUGAUGAGUCUCGACCCAUAACCUGAUUUGGGUAAUGCCAACGUAGGGAUAUAUUUUUU
Molecule: non-coding RNA, 94 nt
Filed under: uncultured Blautia sp.
Lineage: Bacteria; Bacillati; Bacillota; Clostridia; Lachnospirales; Lachnospiraceae
Description: TPP riboswitch (THI element)
Rfam family: TPP riboswitch aptamer (THI element) (bases 4-85)
About the family: Vitamin B(1) in its active form thiamin pyrophosphate (TPP) is an essential coenzyme that is synthesised by coupling of pyrimidine and thiazole moieties in bacteria.
Source: RNAcentral